CAGUAGCCACGGGAAUACGUAGGUGGCAAGCGUUGUCCGGAUUUAUUGGGCGUAAAGCGAGCGCAGGCGGUUUCUUAAGUCUGAUGUGAAAGCCCCCGGCUCAACCGGGGAGGGUCAUUGGAAACUGGGAGACUUGAGUGCAGAAGAGGAGAGUGGAAUUCCAUGUGUAGCGGUGAAAUGCGUAGAUAUAUGGAGGAACACCAGUGGCGAAGGCGGCUCUCUGGUCUGUAACUGACGCUGAGGCUCGAAAGCGUGGGGAGCGAACAGGAUUAGAUACCCGCGUAGUCCCUGUCUCUUAUAC
This 301-nucleotide ribosomal RNA is filed under the name uncultured bacterium. RNAcentral describes it as "partial 16S ribosomal RNA". It matches the Rfam family "Bacterial small subunit ribosomal RNA", at positions 509 to 807 of the family's 1533-position model. The record is from RNAcentral.